CCUACGGGCGGCAGCAGUGAGGAAUAUUGGUCAAUGGCCGAGAGGCUGAACCAGCCAAGUCGCGUGAGGGAAGACGGCCCUACGGGUUGUAAACCUCUUUUGUCGGGGAGCAAAGAGAGUCACGUGUGAGUCAUUGAGAGUACCCGAAGAAAAAGCAUCGGCUAACUCCGUGCCAGCAGCCGCGGUAAUACGGAGGAUGCGAGCGUUAUCCGGAUUUAUUGGGUUUAAAGGGUGCGUAGGCGGAUUUUUAAGUGAGCGGUCAAAUCGUGGGGCUCAACCCCAUCCAGCCGUGGAAACUGGGGUGCUAGAGUGUGCGAGAGGUAGGCGGAAUGCGUGGUGUAGCGGUGAAAUGCAUAGAUAUCACGCAGAACCCCGAUUGCGAAGGCAGCAUACCGGUGCACAACUGACGCUGAGGCACGAGAGCGUGGGUAUCGAACAGGAUUAGAUACCCUAGUAGUC
Molecule: ribosomal RNA, 459 nt
Filed under: uncultured bacterium
Lineage: Bacteria
Description: partial 16S ribosomal RNA
Rfam family: Bacterial small subunit ribosomal RNA
Source: RNAcentral